UUGCUUCUGGUAAUGAAGCUACUGCUACUAUUAUAGCUAUGGCGGUGAGUUUCCAAGGCUUCUGAGUCAACUCUUGACUCUAAUAAACGAAUCGAACGAGUUCAAUGCAGUUCGGCUCUCGUCAAGCACCUCAAGGCCCCUGUUCAUCUCGGUCGAGCUCCAGGGCAAACCAACCAACCGAUCACUGUGAGCCAAGGGACGUCCAGAACCAGCCUCGGUGAAAUUGUGAGGAACAGUCAGAGUUUUGUGGAGUCAGCCCAAACAUCUCACGUACGAGACUGUCUUCGCCUUUGUCCUUUGUUCAUAGUUUUGUUAUGUUGGCGAAAGCAUUGGACUACUUUUGUACAUAAGUCUUGGGUUCGACUGACUUAAACUUGUAUGAUCCUAUAUGUAUAGU
Molecule: non-coding RNA, 397 nt
Organism: Camellia sinensis
Lineage: Eukaryota; Viridiplantae; Streptophyta; Magnoliopsida; Ericales; Theaceae
Source: RefSeq, a predicted model, not a curated record